This 2188-nucleotide ribosomal RNA is filed under the name Clostridium sp. 2-1. RNAcentral's name for it is "bacterial LSU rRNA". It matches the Rfam family "Bacterial large subunit ribosomal RNA", at positions 1 to 2282 of the family's 2925-position model. Lineage: Bacteria; Bacillati; Bacillota; Clostridia; Eubacteriales; Clostridiaceae. The record is from RNAcentral.
AUGGUCAAGCUACAAAGAGCGCAAGGGGAAUGCCUUGGCACUGGGAGCCGAAGAAGGACGCGACUAACUGCGAAAAGCUAUGGGGAGCCGUAAGUGGGCAUUGAUCCAUAGAUAUCCGAAUGGAGCAAUCCGGCUGGAGUCAUGUCCAGUCACCGCAGAGUGAAUUCAUAGGUCUGCGGGGGGAACCGCCUGAACUGAAACAUCUAAGUAGGGCGAGGAAGAGAAAUCAAUUGAGAUUCCGCUAGUAGUGGCGAGCGAAAGCGGAAGAGGCCAAACCGAGGGUAGCAAUACCUUCGGGGUUCGGACAGCGAUAUGGAUGCAGGAAUCUAGCAGAAUGGCAUGGGAAGGCCAACGAAACAGUGUGAGAGUCACGUAUGCGAAAGAGGAAAGCACCUAGCUGUAUCCAGAGUACCGCCGGACACGUGAAACCCGGUGGGAACAUGGGGGGACCACCCUCCAAGCCUAAAUACUACCCAGUGACCGAUAGUGUACAGUACUGUGAAGGAAAGGUGAAAAGGACCCCGGAAGGGGAGUGAAAAAGAACCUGAAACCUUGUGCUUACAAGCACCGAGAGCCCGUCAACGGGUGAUCGGGUACCUUUUGUAGAAUGGUCCGGCGAGUGAAUGUAACUGGCGAGGUUAAGGACUUCAGGUCCGGAGCCGCAGGGAAACCGAGUCUGAACAGGGCGUAUGAAGUCAGUUGUAUUCGACCCGAAACCGGGUGACCUACCCAUGUCCAGGUUGAAGUGGGGGUAAAACCCCAUGGAGGACCGAACCGACUCCCGUUGAAAUGGUAGCGGAUGAGGUGUGGGUAGCGGAGAAAUUCCAAUCGAACCCGGAGAUAGCUGGUUCUCUCCGAAAUAGCUUUAGGGCUAGCCUCGUAAUAAGAUUACCGGAGGUAAAGCACUGAAUGGUCUAGGGGCCGAAAGGCUACCGAAGCCUAUCAAACUCAGAAUGCCGGAUAAUCAUGUACGGGAGUCAGACAGCGUGAGAUAAGUUUCGUUGUCAAAAGGGAAACAGCCCAGACCCACAGCUAAGGUCCCCAAACACGGUUAAGUGGAAAAGGAUGUGGGGUUGCACAGACAACCAGGAUGUUGGCUUAGAAGCAGCCACUCAUUAAAAGAGUGCGUAAUAGCUCACUGGUCGAGUGACCCUGCGCCGAAAAUUUAACGGGGCUAAAUCGUGUACCGAAGCUUGGGAUUCCGUAAGGAAUGGUAGGAGAGCGUUGAAUAAGGGGUGAAGUCAGAGCGGAAGCGCUGGUGGACUUUAUUCAAGUGAGAAUGCCGGAAUGAGUAGCGCGAAAUGUGUGAGAAUCAUAUUGGCCGAAAGUCUAAGGUUUUUGGAGGAAGGUUCGUCCGCUCCAAGUAAGCCGGGAGCUAAGGUGAGGCUGAGAAGCGUAGCCGAUGCACAUACGGUGGAAAUUCCGUAGCCGCCAAAAGAUUUAAGUAAGAUGACACCUGAAAAGGGCAUGACCCGGGCGAUGGUUGACCCGGGCGUAAGGGACCGAAAUUUAGUAGGGAAGCAUGCUUAGCUCAGGGCGAGAAAAGUCUUAUGGAUAUCUAAGGCGCCCGUACCGCAAACCGACACAGGUAGACAGGAAGAGAAUUCCAAGGCCAACGGGAGAAGGGUAGUUAAGGAACUCGGCAAAUUGACCCCGUAACUUAGGGAAAAGGGGUGCCACAGCAAUGUGGCCGCAGAGAAUAGGCCCAGGCGACUGUUUAGCAAAAACACAGGUCUCUGCCAAAUCGUAAGAUGAAGUAUAGGGGCUGACACCUGCCCGGUGCUGGAAGGUUAAGAGGAGAUGUGCAAGCAUUGAAUUGAAGCCCCAGUAAACGGCGGCCGUAACUAUAACGGUCCUAAGGUAGCGAAAUUCCUUGUCGGGUAAGUUCCGACCCGCACGAAUGGUGUAACGAUCUGGGCACUGUCUCAACUACCCGCCCGGCGAAAUUGUAGUACCGGUGAAGAUGCCGGUUACCCGCGACAAGACGGAAAGACCCCAUGGAGCUUUACUGCAGUUUAAUAUUGGGUUUCGGUAAUUUAUGUACAGGAUAGGUGGGAGACUGGGAAACACCGGCGCCAGCCGGUGCGGAGUCACUGUUGGGAUACCACUCUUAAGUUGCUGAAAUUCUAACCUGCGGCCGUGAAUCCGGCCGGGGGACAUUGUUAGACGGGCAGUUUGACUGGGGCGG